GUGCCAGCCGCCGCGGUAAUACCAGCUCUCCGAGUGGUGGGGAUGAUUAUUGGGCCUAAAGCAUCCGUAGCCGGCUGGACAAGUCCCCUGUUAAAUCCAACGAUCCAAUCGUUGGUCUGCGGGGGAUACUGUCCGGCUUGGGGGCGGGAGAGGCCGCCGGUAUUUCCGGGGUAGGGGUGAAAUCCUAUAAUCCCGGGAGGACCACCAGUGGCGAAGGCUGUCGGCUAGAACGCGCCCGACGGUGAGGGAUGAAAGCUGGGGGAGCGAACCGGAUUAGAUACCCGGGUAGUCCCAGCUGUAAACGAUGCAGGCUAGGUGUUAGGGCGGCUACGUGCCGCUCUAGUGCCGCAGGGAAGCUGUUAAGCCUGCCGCCUGGGGAGUACGGUCGCAAGGCUGAAACUCAAAUGAAUUGACGGGG
RNAcentral lists this ribosomal RNA (418 nucleotides) under uncultured prokaryote. Its description in RNAcentral is "bacterial SSU rRNA". It matches the Rfam family "Archaeal small subunit ribosomal RNA", at positions 455 to 873 of the family's 1478-position model. The record is from RNAcentral.